Molecule: microRNA precursor, 94 nt
Filed under: Dasypus novemcinctus (nine-banded armadillo)
Lineage: Eukaryota; Metazoa; Chordata; Mammalia; Cingulata; Dasypodidae
Description: miRNA (ENSDNOG00000030780.1)
Source: RNAcentral
AUCACCUGAGGAUCUUGUUAGAAUGCAGAUUGUGGCUCAGUAGGCCUGGGAUAAGACCUGAGAUUCUACAUUUCUAACAAGUUCCAGGCGAUGC